Molecule: unclassified non-coding RNA, 395 nt
Filed under: soil metagenome
Description: partial contains 5.8S ribosomal RNA, internal transcribed spacer 2, and large subunit ribosomal RNA
Rfam family: 5.8S ribosomal RNA (bases 1-120)
Source: RNAcentral
GAUGAAGAACGCAGCGAAAUGCGAUAAGUAAUGUGAAUUGCAGAAUUCAGUGAAUCAUCGAAUCUUUGAACGCACCUUGCGCCUUUUGGUAUUCCGAAAGGCACACCUGUUUGAGCGUCAUGAAUACCUCAAUCUCCAUCUUUUCUUCGGAUUGAUGGGUGACUUGGAUGUUGAGCCCUGCUGGUAUGCUAUAUCAGCUGGCUUUAAACUUAUUAGCCGGCUCUGUACUGGAUCGGUUUGACUCGACGUGAUAAUAUUAUCGUUGAGGAUGCAUGUCUCAUGCAGCCGGAAAGUAUCAAAGCAGCUUCUAGCUUACCUUUAGUGCACUUUUACAUUUUAGACCUCAGAUCAGGUGGGACUACCCGCUGAACUUAAGCAUAUCAAUAAGCGGAGGA